GUAUAUGUAAGUAAUUUUUUAGGUAAACUUUAAAUACCAUCUUGUAGUUUUGCUCUUUUUCAUUUUAAUGUUACGUGAUUUAAAGUGUAUCAAUUUAGUACUCUAUGAUUUUAUUUUUCUCUUUUCGUCAACCCUUCUAUUAAAUUUUCUUUAAACCAUAUAGAAAAAACUUUAGAUACCCAUCUAUAGUUUAUCGAAAAUUUAUUUUAGUACUCUUUAGUUUUAACUUUGCACUAAUUUAACAAAAAAAUUAGUGAAAAUGAAUAAUAAAAAGCGAAAAAUAAAAAAUAAUAAGGUACGAAAGUGAUACACUUUAAACCAUAUGGUACUAAAGUGAGAAAGUACGAAACUACAGAAGUGAUAUUUAAAGUUUUUUCUUCUUUUUUUAGUGAAAGCUAGUAUGCUAUCCGCUUCGUUUGUUUUUUUUUUAAAAAAAAAACUCAGAUAAAAAUGUGAAGCACUUUUAGGCUUUGAACAAAAAAUUUCAAGUACUAACCGCUAAAUUUUUUGCCACUUGUGUUUGAAACGGUCAGUGUAGAUAAGUAUAACUAAAAGGAAUAAUAGUAAUAGAACCAAAAUAGCUGACCUUUUCAUCUACUCAAUCGUUUACUUUGGUGUACAACAAGUAGCAUUUUUCAGAAUCAUUACUUUGCAGCUUCUACUUUGUCUGC
Molecule: long non-coding RNA, 671 nt
Filed under: Ananas comosus (pineapple)
Lineage: Eukaryota; Viridiplantae; Streptophyta; Magnoliopsida; Poales; Bromeliaceae
Description: long non-coding RNA (ACOM_LNC001472)
Source: RNAcentral